GCCAUCAGGUUAAGCUGGGGACUCUAAGGAACUGCCUACGCAAGUAGUGAGGAAGCGGGGAGUGACGUCAAAUCAGCACGGCCCUUACGUCCAGGGCUACACACGUGCUACAAUGGCCGAUACAGAGGGCAGCUACCUGGUGACAGGAUGCAAAUCUCCAAAAGUCGGUCUCAGUUCGGAUCGGAGUCUGCAACCCGACUCCGUGAAGUUGGAUUCGCUAGUAAUCGCGCAUCAGCCAUGGCGCGGUGAAUACGUUCCCGGGCCUU
Molecule: ribosomal RNA, 266 nt
Filed under: uncultured Sphingobacteriales bacterium
Lineage: Bacteria; Pseudomonadati; Bacteroidota; Sphingobacteriia; Sphingobacteriales
Description: partial 16S ribosomal RNA
Rfam family: Bacterial small subunit ribosomal RNA
Source: RNAcentral